UGUCACAGUCAGCAUAUUAUGUCGUAAAUUGAGUUUAACUAUUUCAUAUCCUUUCAGUCAGCAAUAAUAUUUAUAAACCUUAUAAAUGCAUAAAAUACAUAUGAACAAGUUAACUAUUUAAUAUUCUUACACAGGCUACGGAAUCGUCAGAGCAGCAUACAACUGCCUUUCUGGUCCAAAGAUGACCCAGAGUGAGGGAGGCCACAACAAAAGGGUAGCUCUCCAACAAAGUAGAGGUCUCUCCAAAGGUCGGCAAGGCAUCCGACUCAGUGGGCUAGGCAUCCUUAAUGAGUGGUUGCCGAAAAAGGCUGCAAACCCUGUGUGUGCUGGUGCAUCUGUGUGAAUUGAAAGUGAGUGUUUGAAAGUGGGGGAAUGACCGAAGAGAUCCCAAUCCAUGCAGCUGAAAAACUACUACAAUUGUGUAAAACUGCCCUGGCUGGAUCGGCCAAAUGGGUGGGCAGGGGUUGGUACCCUCCAAUUGUAUG
Molecule: non-coding RNA, 485 nt
Organism: Pelobates cultripes (western spadefoot toad)
Lineage: Eukaryota; Metazoa; Chordata; Amphibia; Anura; Pelobatidae
Source: the annotation of a GenBank genome assembly